This 250-nucleotide unclassified non-coding RNA is filed under the name plant metagenome. RNAcentral describes it as "partial contains small subunit ribosomal RNA, internal transcribed spacer 1, and 5.8S ribosomal RNA". The record is from RNAcentral.
GUAGGUGAACCUGCGGAAGGAUCAUUAACACGUUAUCCACGUAUCAACCAAACCGUGAACUUGAAUUCAAGUAUGUCAGUUACGCUGUCGAGAGGGAGUGAAGAAGGGAUUCUUCGCUCUGCUUUCCCCAGUGCUUAACUGCAUAGUUGUUACCAAUUACCAAAUCACCCCUGAUGUCUUUUUUCUCUUCUUGCAAAAGUUGAGAGAAAAACAUUGGUUUUCUCUGUAUUUCUUACUUGAAGCCAAGGCC